UGUUGGGUUAAGUCCCGCAACGAGCGCAACCCUUAUCCUUAUUUGCCAGCACGUAAUGGUGGGAACUCUAGGGAGACUGCCGGUGAUAAACCGGAGGAAGGUGGGGACGACGUCAAGUCAUCAUGGCCCUUACGAGUUGGGCUACACACGUGCUACAAUGGCAAGUACAGAGGGUUGCUANCCCGCGAGGUGGAGCUAAUCCCACAAAGCUUGUCGUACUCCGGAUUGGAGUCUGCAACUCGACUCCAUGAAGUCGGAAUCGCUAGUAAUCGUACAUCACAAUGCCUCGGUGAAUACGUUCCCGGGCCUUGCACACACCGCCCGU
RNAcentral lists this ribosomal RNA (325 nucleotides) under uncultured bacterium. Its description in RNAcentral is "bacterial SSU rRNA". It matches the Rfam family "Bacterial small subunit ribosomal RNA", at positions 1073 to 1397 of the family's 1533-position model. The record is from RNAcentral.